This 424-nucleotide ribosomal RNA is filed under the name uncultured bacterium. RNAcentral describes it as "bacterial SSU rRNA". It matches the Rfam family "Bacterial small subunit ribosomal RNA", at positions 355 to 776 of the family's 1533-position model. RNAcentral also lists the same sequence under 1 other name. The record is from RNAcentral.
UGAGGAAUAUUGGUCAAUGGCCGUAAGGCUGAACCAGCCAAGUAGCGUGAGGGAAGACUGCCCUAUGGGUUGUAAACCUCUUUUAUGCGGGGAUAAAGGUGUCCACGUGUGGAUGUUUGCAGGUACCGCAUGAAUAAGGACCGGCUAAUUCCGUGCCAGCAGCCGCGGUAAUACGGAAGGUCCGGGCGUUAUCCGGAUUUAUUGGGUUUAAAGGGAGCGUAGGCCGGUCUUUAAGCGUGCCGUGAAAUUUUGUGGCUCAACCAUGAGAGUGCGGCGCGAACUGGAGACCUUGAGUGCGCGGAAGGCAGGCGGAAUUCGUGGUGUAGCGGUGAAAUGCUUAGAUAUCACGAAGAACCCCGAUUGCGAAGGCAGCCUGCCGCAGCGUUACUGACGCUGAAGCUCGAAAGCGCGGGUAUCGAACAGG